Molecule: ribosomal RNA, 628 nt
Filed under: Rhodospirillaceae bacterium
Lineage: Bacteria; Pseudomonadati; Pseudomonadota; Alphaproteobacteria; Rhodospirillales; Rhodospirillaceae
Description: bacterial SSU rRNA
Rfam family: Bacterial small subunit ribosomal RNA
Source: RNAcentral
GAGGUCAACUUGAGAGUUUGAUCCUGGCUCAGAGCGAACGCUGGCGGCAGGCUUAACACAUGCAAGUCGAAGGUGAAGCUAGAGCUUGCUCUAGUGGAAACUGGCGGACGGGUGAGUAACGCGUAGGGAUGUGCCUUUGAGUACGGAAUAACCGUUGGAAACGACGGCUAAUACCGUAUACGCCCCGAGGGGGAAAGCUCCGGCGCUCAUAGAGCAACCUGCGUCCGAUUAGCUUGUUGGUGAGGUAACGGCUCACCAAGGCUUCGAUCGGUAGCUGGUCUGAGAGGAUGAUCAGCCACACUGGGACUGAGACACGGCCCAGACUCCUACGGGAGGCAGCAGUGGGGAAUAUUGGACAAUGGGGGCAACCCUGAUCCAGCCAUGCCGCGUGAGUGAAGAAGGCCCUAGGGUUGUAAAGCUCUUUCAGAUGUGAGGAUGAUGACAGUAGCAUCAGAAGAAGCACCGGCUAACUUCGUGCCAGCAGCCGCGGUAAUACGAAGGGUGCUAGCGUUGUUCGGAAUUACUGGGCGUAAAGGGCGUGUAGGCGGAUAAUCAAGCUAGAGGUGAAAGCCCAGGGCCUAACCCUGGAACUGCCUUUAGAACUGAUUGUCUAGAAUCCGUAAGGGGA